RNAcentral lists this ribosomal RNA (466 nucleotides) under uncultured bacterium. RNAcentral describes it as "bacterial SSU rRNA". It matches the Rfam family "Bacterial small subunit ribosomal RNA", at positions 329 to 793 of the family's 1533-position model. The record is from RNAcentral.
UCCCAGACUCCUACGGGAGGCAGCAGUGAGGAAUAUUGGUCAAUGGCCGGAAGGCUGAACCAGCCAAGUCGCGUGAGGGAAUAAGGCCCUAUGGGUCGUAAACCUCUUUUGUCGGGGAGCAAAGCGAACCACGUGUGGUUCAUUGAGAGUACCCGAAGAAAAAGCAUCGGCUAACUCCGUGCCAGCAGCCGCGGUAAUACGGAGGAUGCGAGCGUUAUCCGGAUUUAUUGGGUUUAAAGGGUGCGCAGGCGGAGGUGCAAGUCAGCGGUCAAAUUGCGGGGCUCAACCCCGUACUGCCGUUGGAACUGGGUGCCUUGAGUGGGCGAGAAGUAUGCGGAAUGCGUGGUGUAGCGGUGAAAUGCAUAGAUAUCACGCAGAACCCCGAUUGCGAAGGCAGCAUACCGGCGCCCUACUGACGCUGAAGCACGAAAGCGUGGGUAUCGAACAGGAUUAGAUACCCGGGUAA